This is a ribosomal RNA of 393 nucleotides. It matches the Rfam family "Eukaryotic large subunit ribosomal RNA", at positions 3004 to 3399 of the family's 3401-position model. The record is from Rfam.
AAUGUUGUUGCAAUAGUAAUUGAACUUAGUACGAGAGGAACCGUUCAUUCGGAUAAUUGGUAUUUGGGCCUGCCUGAGCAGGCAAUGGCCCGAAGCUAUCAUCCGUUGGGUUAUGGCUGAACGCCUCUAAGUCAGAACCCGUGCUAGAACGCGACGAUUACCGCCUUGUGCCAUUUUUAGUUGAAUACGAAUAGACCUUCGGAUCCUGAAUCAUACUACGCGGGGUUAUCUUGCAGAGCGGAAAGGCUUUGUGAGGUUCCUGCUAAUGUUAAUUUCAAAUAUUGGAAGAGAUAAAUCCAUUGCAGACGACUUUAAUUGAACGGGGUAUUGUAAGCAGUAGAGUAGCCUUGUUGCUACGAUCUGCUGAGAUUAAGCCCAUUGUUCUAUAGAUUU